CCUACGGGAGGCUGCAGUGGGGAAUAUUGGACAAUGGGGGGAACCCUGAUCCAGCCAUGCCGCGUGUGUGAAGAAGGCCCUCGGGUUGUAAAGCACUUUCAGUGAGGAAGAACGCCUGGUGGUUAAUACCCAUCAGGAAAGACAUCACUCACAGAAGAAGCACCGGCUAACUCCGUGCCAGCAGCCGCGGUAAUACGGGGGGUGCGAGCGUUAAUCGGAAUUACUGGGCGUAAAGCGCGCGUAGGUGGCUUGAUAAGCCGGUUGUGAAAGCCCCGGGCUCAACCUGGGAACGGCAUCCGGAACUGUCAAGCUAGAGUGCAGGAGAGGAAGGUAGAAUUCCCGGUGUAGCGGUGAAAUGCGUAGAGAUCGGGAGGAAUACCAGUGGCGAAGGCGGCCUUCUGGACUGACACUGACACUGAGGUGCGAAAGCGUGGGUAGCAAACAGGAUUAGAUACCCGUGUAGUC
This 465-nucleotide ribosomal RNA is filed under the name Vreelandella stevensii. RNAcentral's name for it is "partial 16S ribosomal RNA". It matches the Rfam family "Bacterial small subunit ribosomal RNA", at positions 338 to 795 of the family's 1533-position model. The record is from RNAcentral. Lineage: Bacteria; Pseudomonadati; Pseudomonadota; Gammaproteobacteria; Oceanospirillales; Halomonadaceae.